UUAUGAUUGUUAUUUAUCUCACUUAUCGCAAUUUACAGCAAAGGCGUUGUCUCGGUCUGAUAACAGUCUUUUUUAAUCCUUUUUCACAUACCGCAACUAUUUGGCGGUCACUUUAAUCCGGCACCUCUGAGGUUGUCUUUCCGUCCAUGUAAUUUUCUUAAGCUCAUUUUACCUUGAAUGCGGUUAAAGCUGUCACCUAACAUCCGUUAUUAUAUAGUUCAUUUCUUCUCGCUUAAUCAUGCCGCCUAAGAAGUGUACUGCUGGCCCUGGAAGAGGCCGCGCAAGCUGCAAUAGUACAAGAUACCCAGUCUACUGCAGUCCCAGGGAUGGUCCAGUUAAAUCUCCAGGCGCUCACCAGCACAAUUGCCGCUGCUGUCUCCGCGGCCGUGAAGGACGCUAUGGCCACGCAGCAUCAAGCGAGUGUCCCCGCCAGCACUACCACAGCACGUGGUCAGGUUGACCAUCUGGUGAACGAGGAGAUUUCAAACCUCACUCAACCCACAGUUCCUGCGCUUUUUGGGAAGACAUUAAAGAGGCUGUGAACAGGUCCUGGCUAGAGUGACGGUUGAAGAAGAAGACAUGCAUAAUUUAGAAUUACACGUAAAUUGAAGGUCCGGUCCUCGUAAUGUAGUACCGGGAUAGUUUGUACAGUCAGCUAUUAGGCUCUUGCAACAAAUCCUGUAGUUUAUUUGACAAAAUAAAGCAACACUUUGGUUUUUCUAAUCGGAA
This is a long non-coding RNA of Orbicella faveolata, 729 nucleotides long. RefSeq lists it as uncharacterized. NCBI's taxonomy places the organism in Eukaryota, Metazoa, Cnidaria, Anthozoa, Scleractinia, Merulinidae. The record is from RefSeq and is a predicted model, not a curated record.